RNAcentral lists this unclassified non-coding RNA (90 nucleotides) under Oryza sativa (Asian cultivated rice). RNAcentral describes it as "partial microRNA MIR472a-19-as precursor". The record is from RNAcentral. Lineage: Eukaryota; Viridiplantae; Streptophyta; Magnoliopsida; Poales; Poaceae.
UUCACAAUGUAAGUCAUUCUAGCAUUUCCCACAUUCAUAUUGAUGUAAUAUGAAUGUGGGAAAUGCUAGAAUGACUUACAUUGUGAAACG